CCAUUCAAGAUUGGAAAGAGAGGAAGCAAGAUCCUAGCGACAAGUCGAAAUGUAGAUGCCUUCUCGGAUCUUGGUCCUGAUGUGAGAUGUGCUAAUUUUCCAAUUAGUGACUUGGAUGAUAGUAUGUUCCUUGAGCUAUUCAUGUAUUAUGCACUUGGAGAUGGGAAUGCAAACAAUGGAGCUGGGAGCACACUCUGGAAUAUUGGGGCCCACAUUGCAGAAAAGCUGAAGAGGUCACCUCUGUUAGAUGUGUAUAGUCUCUUUACGGAAUAUCCCCAUUGUAUAAGGGGUUUCCUGCACUUUGACACACAUGUAUAUGUAAUCGCCUUUGGCCCUUAGUAAAGUUCAGCUGCAGUUUAUCCAACAUGGUAUCAGAUGUUACGUUUCCCUCUCUCCCGCACGCUGCAACUCUGUGCUAGUUCCUCCCCCAAUCCGCCCACUGCCAGGUCCGGAUCUUCUCGCAGCGGAUCCGGCCGUAUCAGCUCUCCUCGCCGCGGAUCCGGACGCCCAGGUCCUCCUCACUGCGGCUCCGGCCACCCCGGCCUGCUCCGCUGCCCGGCUCGGACCAGCCGCCGCCGCCUCCUGCCGGCGGGCCACCAUCGCCCUCCCCUGCUUCGCUUGGCGGAUUCACCGGGGGCCGGCCCUCGCUUGACCGCUAGCUCUCUCCGCUCGGCCGCCGUCUGCUGCUUCCGCUGUGGAAGCUGCUGCUUCCCUACGCGCAGGGCGUGCGCGAGCGCUCGUUCGGCCGCUGGCCUGUUGCUCGAGCCGCUGGCUCUGCCCACCUCGUGUGCACGCGCGCGGGCGUGAGCGAGCGCCUCGGCUCGGUCCGGUCUCAGUCCGGCCGGCCCGUUGACUCCAGGAGACGAGAGCUCUGCUCGAUCUGUUUUCAAUUUGGCCCUCUCACUCCGGACUCAGUCCGGGCCUCUCGCUCCGGACUCAGUUCGGGCUUCUUGAUCCGCAUUCAGUUCGGGUCCAAAAAAAUUGAGAUAUCUCAGUAUCUCAUCUUCAGGCUAUGUGGUUGUUCCUCGCUGCUCAGUGAUCUUUGAUGGCAGCAACUAUGCUGAGUUUGUGGGCUUCAUGCGUAUUCAUAUGUGCGGCCUUCUGCUGUGGGGCGUUCUCUCUGGCGAGUUACCCUUGUCGGUGUCAAAACCGGCGGAUCUCGGGUAGGGGGUCCCGAACUGUGCGUCUAAGGCCGAUGGUAACAGGAGGCGGGGGACACAAUGUUUACCCAGGUUCAGGCCCUCUCGAUGGAGGUAAUACCCUACUUCCUUCUUGAUUGAUCUUGAUGAUAUGAGUAUUACAAGAGUUGAUCUACCACGAGAUCAUAGAGGCUAAACCCUAGAAGCUAGCCUAUGAUUAUGAUUGUUGUUGUCCUACGGACUAAACCCUCCGGUGUAUAUAGACACCGGAGGGGGCUAGGGUUACACAGAGUCGGUUACAAGGGAGGAGAUCUACAUAUCCGAAUUGCCAAGCUUGCCUUCCACGCAAAGGAGAGUCCCACCCGGACACGGGACGAAGUCUUCAAUCUUGUAUCUUCAUAGUCCAACAGUCCGGCCAAGGUAUAUAGUCCGGCUGUCUGAGGACCCCCUAAUCCAGGACUCCCUCAGUAGCCCCUGAACCAGGCUUCAAUGACGAUGAGUCCGGCGCGCAGAUUGUCUUCGGCAUUGCAAGGCGGGUUCUUCCUCUGAAUACUCCAUAGAAGAUUUUGAACACAAGGAUCGUGUCCGGCUCUGCAAAACAAAUUCCACAUACCACCGUAGAGAGUACAAUAUCCCACAAAUCUAAUCUGCUGACAAAUUUCAUAGCGUGACAUCAUGCCACGGCCCGGUCAUUAUUCAAACCGUUUUCCUCAACCAGCUACUGCACAUAUUGCGAGGCGGUUUUCUUGGCAUGUCUUGUCAAAGCAGAGAUCGUGUCCCCUUAUCACGGGAUUCUCAUCAAUACGGGUGUGGGUAACCCAACCACGCCAUCAAUCACGGCGCUUGGGGAAUAAGCGAGUUUACUAGGCAAGUGGGGAGGCGCAGAAUCCAUGCUGCCUUUAUAAGGGGAUAAGAACUCCCUUUUGCACCCACGCUUUCUUCUUCCUCAUCCAUUCCCCUUCGCUCGAGCUCCAGCGCCCGAGCAUUCGUCUUCUCUGCCCACAAAGGUCUUCCGAAAUUGUCCGGAUCCGGAGUAGGAGGCAAGUGGAUGGCCUCUACCGUCCGGGAGAAGGAUAUCAAAAUGCUUCGGGAGGCCGGGUAUCUGGCCAAGAAAAUCAGCCACCGUCUCCCGACGGCGGGACAGAUCGUCCCUACUCCAGAACCCCACGAGAGGGUUGUACUCCUUACCCACUUCAUCCGCGGGCUGGGAUUUCCCCUCCACCCAUUUGUCCGCGAGCUCAUGUUCUACUACGGGCUGGACUUCCAUGAUCUGGCCCCUAAUUUCAUCCUCAACAUCUCGGCAUUUAUCGUCGUGUGCGAGGCCUUCCUCCGCAUCAAGCCCCACUUCGGCCUGUGGCUGAAGACCUUCAACGUGAAACCGAAGGUGGUGGUCGGCCAGCAAGCGGAGUGCAGAGGCACCAUGGUGGGAAAAAUGCCCAACGUCACAUGGCUCGAAGGCUCCUAUGUGGAGACCGUGAAGGGGUGGCAAUCGGGGUGGUUCUACAUCACCGAGCCGCGCGACACCAACUGGGUGGCGGCCCCCGAAUUUCGAUCCGGCAUCCCCAUGCGGCUCACCUCCUGGAAAGAGAAGGGCCUAUCCUGGGGUUCAUCGGCGGAGCUGACCGGACUCCAAAACUGUGUUAAAAACAUGAUAAGCAAGAAAAUCAAGCUUGUCAACGUGGUCCAGGUCAUGCUCUUCCGCCGGAUCCUCCCGUGCCAAAGACGGGCAUUCAAUAUGUGGGAGUUCGACCCGGCCAAGCACCAGACGCUGUGAGAGCUUUUCGACACGACGCACCAAGACGUCUGGAAGCUGCUGUUCAAGGCCGCCGAGUACCUCCUCCGCUUACCGAGGAUCGCGGACUCAACGCAAAGCACCCUGCCAAUCCGGUAAGCUCUUUAUAUCUCAUAAGAUGUUCCUUUCCCCAGUAUAAUCAUGUGAGGGAUCUGAGCCUCCACGCCAUUUUAACAGGACUGGGUAGCGACAGCGGAGUGGAUCGAUUGUCCGGCCCCACUGCCCGAAGAUCCAGCAAGGGCUCUCUUAAGGGGAGAUGCUGGUUCCGGCGCCCUAUGAGGCGCCGGAGAAGAAGGUGAAGAAGAAGGCCGCGGGGACCAGGAAAGGUCUCCGGCGCAAGGUUGUAUCAGACUCAUCGUUCGAUAACACCAAGGCGCCCUCCUCCCACGAAAACGAGGAGGAGGAAGAGGAAAGUUCUCCCCCACCCCCCAGCCGGGGGAGACAAGAAAAGGAAGGCCGCCCCAUCUGGGGAGGCCGAAGGGUCCAAGAAGGGAAGGACCCUCCUUCCGGACUACUCCAUAACAGCCGCUUACAGCGACGAGGAGUGGUUGCCCAGGGACAAGCCCCUGGCGAAGUCGUAAGUAUCCGGAUACCAUAAUAGUUCUGGUAUGUUUUGUUUUAUUGCUUCUUAUCAUGCCAAACAUGAUCAUGCAGUCCAUCCAAAGCCCAUAACGACGUAUCCUCUUCGGAUGAGUCUUUGGGCCAGUCGGCGAUGAACAGCGAUUCACUCCCGACCGCCACCUCCCCCCGUCCUACGGACGACGUCGAGGUGUUGUCUCAAAGGGCACUGAACCAAGGGGAGAUAGUUCUGGAGGCGCCCCAAGGCGACAUCCCAGACGCUGGGCGCAUGGGGGGCAAGACUCCCAUGGGCUCUAAUGACGGGGGCAACAAGUUUGGCCCCCAGCCGAAUACUGCGCCGGAACCUCCAGUGGUUCUGGAUUUUGUCAGGCGACCCCUCGCUAAGGGGGGCGAGCCGUCUGUGCCGAUGGCCUUUGUCCAUCCAGAGGCAUCGGACAAUUUGCUGGAAGCGCUUCGCGGCGCUUCCAUUGACGAAGAGCACCGCACUAUCAUGAGUGCGGUGGUUGAGAAGGUUCGGUCCGCCAAAAGCGGACUGACUAAAGCCUGUGCCAGCCUCCUAACAGGCUUUGAGGUAAGUAAUCAAAUUAUGAGAAAAUGUUAUAGCAUAGACAGUAGCCCCUGAUGCUCUGUUUGGUGUUCGCAAAGAAAGGCCAAACAGAGGAUCAAAUAAUAAUCACAGAAGUCUAAUCAGAAUAUGUCUAUGCGAAUAAGCAGGCUUCGCUGCUGGCCACUGCCGCUCAUACGGCGGAGGUCUCCGCACUGAAGCGGGACCUUGAGCGGUCCGAGGAAGAGCUCGGCCUUACCAAGAGGCAGCUCGAAGAGAACAAAGGUAAGUGAUACCCCGUCUGUAUAUUGAUAAAGAAAAAAGAAGGUGGUUGUUAGAUCAUAGGAUCGUCAUGAAUUUUGCUAGGGGCCACGACCAAAGUGGCGGCCUUGAAGAAGGCGUUGUCCGAGGCCGAAGACAAAGCGGCCAAGGAGCGCACCGAGCGCGAGAAGCAAGAGGCCCGAGUCAGCGAGGUUCAGCAAGAGCUCCAGGAUUUUGUCAAGAAAUACGAGUCCUUGGAGCGUGACUCUAAGACGCAAGGGUCGGAGCUUGCGAAGGCCCUCGAGAACGCACAAAAUGCCAAGGCCGAAGCCCAAAAGGCCCUCCAGGAAAUUCAGGCGGUCAAGAAGAUAGCGGCGGGUAAGGCAUUCAUUAUGCAAAGCAAGCAUGUGAAGGAAACUUUCCUCUUACUUACCCGAAUUCAGAGCUCUCGAGGAGCGUUCGCAGAUCUACCCAGCAGCGUAUCGGAUGCCGCGGAGUUCUACCGGGCCGAGGAAGGGAGCUCGACGGAGAAGUUGUUCUGGUCUCAGUAUACUGGGACCGAACAUCCGAUGCCCUUGAGCGACCAGUUGAAGCAACUGGUCGAGCUUCACAAGGCGGCCGAACUGGCCAUGAAGGGUCUCAUAGUCCGGAUGUGGCCUGGCGAGCCCCUGCCUGGCAGCUACUUCAGCCUGGUAAAGCGGCUUGUGAAUGCCUGCCCACGGUUUGAAGUCAUAAAGCGGUCCGUCUGCAUUGAAGGUGCGCAGGGCCUUUGCCCGUGCGAAAGUGCACUGGGCGAAGAUGGACGCCGAAAAGCUGGUGAAGGAGGGGCCGCCGGAGGGCAAGGAGCAUCGCCACCCCGAGAAGUAUUAUGACAGUGUCCUGAAGGGUGCUCGCCUUGUGACGGAGGAAUGUGCUAAGGAUGUAAUAUUUGAAUGAAUGUACUCAUGUGAUCCUGUAAUGUGAAAACGAGUUCAUGUGCGCUAUAUAACGCUUGUUGAUUUAAAAUAUUACCUUCUGUGCGGCCGUUUAUAAAAUCUAAGAGUGGCUAGUCGUCGGCUUCUGCCCCCAUGUAACUAGUACUGAGGUGUUCGGGAUAAACCUGAUCACUCUUUAUCCCAGUUUUGGGUCCUUCGAAGGAGGUGUUCAGCACAACGAACCAGACAAUCGAACUAUAAAGCUUUAUCACUCUCACUUAGCCAUAGAAGUCUACAAUUUUAAAUUUUGGUGAAGCCCCUAGUAUUCGGAAGGCCGGACUUGGGGCGGUAUGUACGCCUAAAUCGGACAAGGCCGACUCCUCGCCCGAAGCGGAAAAAAUCUUUAAGGAUUUGAGACCUCUCGAACAGCGACCAGCUCUCGGCGCAUCAUGAUAGUCAGUUUUCGGCUUUCUCUACUGAGGUGCUCGUCCGGAAGAACCGGGACACAAUCGCAGUAGUUCUCCCAGUGCUACCUUAGCCGAUAUAGCGGAACGUAAGGUACCAAAACAUGGGAGCCGGGCAAACCCAACUAUUGACCCAAGACAUGAUUCGGAGCUGAUGCAUAUAAUGCUAUAAGUUCGGGGUGCCGCACUGUCGAAAGUGUUCGGACUUUUCAUGCCGUGUUAUGGGGUACACUGAAGCCCCUGGCGCACUGGACGUAUCAGAAUGUAUGGGUGCAAUUUGUCAUAAAUAAGCAGACAAGGAGAAAAUAUGAAGGAAUGCAAUAAUGAGCUAAUGUUGUACAUUGAUACGUCAAAGCGUAUGUAUACAAGUAGUGCAAUAAGUAAAAAUAGGACUAUUUGACAUGUCCUAUCCAAGGGCAAGCUGCGUGUGGGUAUGUAAAACAGGUAUAUCGAUCAUUAUCAGAAACCACCUGGGGAUUCCCUUGUACGUCAAAGCUUCUUGCUUCCUUGGUGUUUCCUUCCCGUGACAGGUCCGAUAAUCAAGCGAUCGGAGAGGGCCUUCAGAGAAUAGGGGCCUGAAAGGAAGAAAAUUUUAAAGAUAUACGGGUCCUGAGGCGGUUGAGCCGCAUUGUGGGACGUGCCAUAGCCGUGCCUCCGCCUAUGUCCAUGGUAUCUUGAGUGCGUAAUUAUGUACGCGCGGCGCAAAUUUCGCCGCUUGACUGGGAAUAGGACGGAGGCCGAAUUGCUAGGCGAGCUCUGAACGUGCCGAGUGAUCCUGUUGCAGGGUACUCAGGACUCGCUUGAAGGUGUCCGGGGGCUUUUUCGCCGAAUUGGCGGUUUGUCUCAGAAGGCUGCUUUUCACUUCUGCUGCGAGGGCCGCAGUGUGCUCCUCCGUACGGAGCGAGCGUUCUGUGUUUCCAUUAACUGUUAUAACCCCGCGAGUUCCUGGCAUUUUGAGCUUGAGGUAUGCAUAAUGUGGUACCGCAUUGAAUCUGGCGAAUGCGGUUCGUCCGAGCAGUGCAUGAUAGCCACUGCGGAAGGGGACGAUAUCGAAGAUUAACUCCUCGCUUCGGAAGUUGUCCGGAGAUCCGAAGACCACUUCUAGUGUGAUUGAGCCCGUGCAAUAGGCCUCUACACCUGGUAUGACACCUUUAAAGGUGGUUUUUGUGGGUUUGAUCCUUGAGGGGUCUAUACCCAUUUUGCGCACUGUAUCCUGAUAGAGCAGGUUCAGGCUGCUGCCACCAUCCAUAAGGAUUCGAGUGAGGUGAAAUCUGUCAAUGAUGGGGUCAAGGACCAAUGCGGCAGAACCGCCAUGACGGAUACUGGUGGGGUGGUCCCUAUGAUCGAAAGUGAUCGGACAAGAAGACCAUGGGUUGAACAUUGGGGCGACUGGCUCCAUCGCAUAGACGUCCCUUAGUGCACGCUUCCGUUCCCGCUUGGGAAUAUGGGUUGCGUAUAUCAUGUUCACCAUUUUCACUUGGGGAGGAAAUUUCUUCUGUCCUCCUGUGUUCGGCGGCCGGGGCUCCUCCUCGUCGUUGCUAUGCAGCCCCUUUUCCUUGUUUUCGGCAUUCAACUUGCCGGCUUGUUUGAACACCCAGCAUUCUCUGUUGGUGUGGUUGGCUGGUUUAUCGGGGGUGCCGUGAAUUUGACACGAGCGAUCGAGUAUGCGGUCCAAACUGCACGGGCCCGGAUUGCUUCUUUUGAACGCCUUUUUCCGCUGACCGGAUUUAGAGCCACUGAAUCCGGCAUUGACUACCGUGUCUUCGGUGUUGUCGCCGUUGUUACGGCGCUUGUGUCUGUUGCGACGUGGCCUGCCGUUGCUAUCUUUGGCAUCUGAAUUGCCAGGAUUUCUUGAUGUCUUGUUGCUGCGAGCCAGCCAGCUGUCCUCGCCCGCACAAAAGCAGGUCAUGAGUGUCGUGAGGGAUGCCAUGGACUUCGGCUUCUCUUGGCCGAGGUGUCGGGUGACGACUCGUCGCAGAUGUUAUGCUUAAAUGCCGCUAAGGCCUCGGCAUCCGGACAGUCGACAAUUUGGUUGUUUUUAGUUAGGAACCGAGUCCAGAAUUUCCUGGCUGAUUCUCCUGGCUGUUGGGUUAUGUGACUCAAGUCAUCGGCAUCCGGUGGUCGCACAUAAGUGCCCUGGAAGUUGUCAAGGAAUGCGUCUUCCAAAUUCUCCCAACUGCCAAUGGAGUUUGCCGGCAGGCUAUUCAGCCAAUGCCGAGCCGGCACUUUGAGUUUUAGUGGGAGGUACUUGAUGGCAUGUAGAUCGUCACCGCGGGCCAUGUGGAUGUGGAGGAGGAGAUCUUCAAUCCAUACCGCGGGGUCUGUUGUACCAUCAUAUGAUUCAAUGUUCACGGGUUUAAAACCUUAUGGGAAUUCGUGAUCCAUUACUUUGUCAGUGAAGCAUAGGGGGUGUGCGGCGCCUCUGUGCCGGGCUAUGUCACGACGCAGUUCAUACGAGUCUUGUCUGCUGUAUUCGGCCCGGCCGGAUUUGCUUUUAGUAUAUCCGGCGUGACGGUCAUCGUCACACGUUGGGGCGCGCCCCCGUGAUCCGUAGAUCGAUCUUGUAUGUCCUGCUUUGUUUUCCAAUAUGUCUCGCAGGUCCUGCGUGUUGCCCCGGGCCUUGGUGUUUUUGCUUGACUGGCGGCGGGGUGCGGGCUGGACUUCGGGCUGAUAUGCCGCUUUGUCUCGGCCACGAGGUGGCUGGUCAGCCGCAUCAUACACUAGAAGUGUAGGCUUUAAUGCCUCCUCCUCGAGUUGGGGUAGCAACCUGCGCUUUGGGUAACUUUUGGUUGGGCGCUCGAGUUCGUAUUCCUCGGCCGCCAGGACCUCGGUCCAUCUAUCCGCUAGCAGAUCUUGGUCAGCUUGAAGCUGUUGUUGCUUUUUCUUCAGGAUUUUUGCUGUGGCUAUAAGCCGGCGCUUGAAGCGCUCCUGCUCGACGGGAUCCUCGGGCACGAUAAAUUCUUCAUCGUCGAGGCUCACCUCGUCUUCGGAGAGGGGCAUGUAAUUGUCAUCCUCUGAUUCUCCGUCUGCUGCCUGUUCCUUAGGGCAAGCUUGCCCAUCCUCCCGCUCGAAACCUGGCUGGAGGGGAUUGGCUUCGUCUUCGGCACUAUCCGCAGCGUUAUUGUCUCUUGUGCCGGUAUCGCUGCUUUUGCUAUGGCGGGGCUUAGAGUGGCGUCGAUGAUGCCGGUGCUUAGAUUGCUUCUCGGGGGGAUUAUCCUCCGUUGCCUUAUUGCCAUCGCUUUCUUUGGGGGUGUCCACCAUGUAUAUAUCAUAUGAUGAGGUGGCAGUCCAGCGCCCUGUGGGCGGUGGUUCCUGUUCUUCUCCUGCAUCGUCGUCCAUACCGUCGAUGUCUUCGGAGCCGAAAUCGAGCAUGUCGGUUAAGUCGUCGACAGUGGCUAUUAAGUGGGUGGUGGGUGGGGAACAAAUUUCUUCGUCGUCCGCUUCCCACUCAAGCCGGACAUAGUUCGGCCAAGGGCCUCCUGACAAGGAGAGAGACCUUAAUGAAUUUAGCAUGUCGCCCAGGGGCGAGUGCUGAAAGAUAUCCGCGGAGGAAAACUCCAUGAUCAGUGCCCAAAUAGAUUCGAUAGGCAUGGACGUAGGCGGUUCGGAGCCCGUGGCCGGGGACGAAUCCAAGGGUCUGGCAACACAGGUCUCAUAGGAGGUGAAGUCAGUAUUCAGCUCUAUCGCUGCUGAGUGUGCGGCCUCCGUGGCGGGGUCCAUCCACCCGUCCUCGGACGGCGCGAUCUGCUCCAGAUUGAGGGCCGGAGUGGCCACAGGUGUGAUCUCCCGAACACCGUCCGACGGCAGAGCUAAGUCAUGCUCGUCGUGACUGUGCGGCGCACCUGACAUGGGCUCGAAUCCGUCGAAGAUCAAGUCUCCACGGAUGUCGGCAGUAUAGUUUAAGUUUCCAAACCUGACCUGACGGCCAGGGGCGUAGCUCUCGAUCUGCUCCAGAUGGCCAAGCGAGUUGGCCCGCAGUACGAAGCCGCUGAAUACGAAGAUCUGUUCAGGGAGAAAAACCUCACCCUGGAUCGCAUCGUUGCCGAUGAUCGAAGGAGCCAUCAAGCCUUUAUUGCGACGGCACAGUGGAACUCUCAAUGAAAGCACCAAUGUCGAUGUCAAAACCGGCGGAUCUCGGGUAGGGGGUCCCGAACUGUGCGUCUAAGGCGGAUGGUAACAGGAGGCGGGGGACACAAUGUUUACCCAGGUUCGGGCCCUCUCCGAUGGAGGUAAUACCCUACUUCCUGCUUGAUUGAUCUUGAUGAUAUGAGUAUUACAAGAGUUGAUCUACCACGAGAUCGUAGAGGCUAAACCCUAGAAGCUAGCCUAUGAUUAUGAUUGUUGUUGUCCUACGGACUAAACCCUCCGGUUUAUAUAGACACCGGAGGGGGCUAGGGUUACACAGAGUCGGUUACAAGGGAGGAGAUCUACAUAUCCGAAUUGCCAAGCUUACCUUCCAUGCAAAGGAGAGUCCCACCCGGACACGGGACGAAGUCUUCAAUCUUGCAUCUUCAUAGUCCAACAGUCCGGCCAAGGUAUAUAGUCCGGCUGUCCGAGGACCCCCUAAUCCAGGACUCCCUCAACCCUGUCCGCCAUGCCCUGUUGCUCCAGUGGCUCCUGUUCCGCCUGUUCCGCCGGUGCUUGCUGCUGAUGCUUCUCAGACUGAUCGGGAUGCAGCCAAGGCUAUUGAUGAUGCUGCAGUUUAUGCUAAAGAUCAGCAGGUAUCUGCCUACUCUGAUGCUCUUUCUGUCUACCGGGAUGAUCUGUCUUCUUACACGCAGUGGUGUAAUCAUGAUGCUCGUGCUGCUGCUAUUCUCACUGCGAGUGUUCUCCCUCAGUUUGCUUCGGAGUUCAUGGGCCUCGGCACUAUUGCAGCGAUGUGGUCCUACCUUUGUCAGCGCUAUCAGCCCUCUGGUGAUGCUCUAUAUCUUUUUGUGGUGCAUCAGGAGCAUGCUCUUCAGCAGGGUGACUCGUCUGUUGAUGAGUUCUGUUCUGCCAUCUGGCGUCAGCUUGACUCACUACGGACAGUUGUUUGUGGCACUUGUCGUUGCUGUCAGACUACGCGGUCUGACUUGGAGUUUCAGCGGGUUCAUGAGUUCUUAACUCGUCUCCGCUCUGAUCAAGCCUCGACGUGCUCACCUGCUUGCUCGUGGUCGUGUUCCUAUCUCAGAGGUACUUGCUGAGCUUCGUGCUGAGGAGACCCGCCUUCGCUCUGCUGGGUUACUUGUGGUUCCUUCAGUGUUGGCCACCCGGGCUCCUAAGUUAGCUGCUCGCCUCACUGAUCCACCACUCCUGCCCACUCCUUCAGGGGGGUGAGCCGUCCUCUUUAUGCUGAGAAGAGUACGUCGCACUGUGACACUUUCUGUGGUUACUGCUCCCGGUCAGGUCACCCAGAGUCUGAUUGUCGCCAGAAGAAGCGAGACCAGAGACGCUCCUCUUCCAGUGGUCCUCCUGCGUCUUCCUCGACUCCGUCACUCACUGACCAGGACAUUGUACGCCUCAAGCGUCAGCUUGCCUCCUCCGGCUCCUCGUCGACUGGUUCAGUUGCUGCUAUGAUAGCAUCCUCUUCCACACCACCGCAGGCCUCUACACAGUCAGGUAUAUCCUCGUGGGUUCUGGAUUCUGGAGCCUCCUUUCAUAUGUCUUCUGAUUCUUCUGUGUUGUCUUCUCUCCGACCUCUUGAUUCACCUGUUAAUGUUCUUACCGCCGAUGGCACACCUCUUCCUGUUGCUAGUCGUGGUCUUCUUUCCACUCCAUCCUUUUCUGUUCCUAGUGUUUCCCAUGUUCCUCGCCUUACCAUGAAUCUUUUUUCUGCUGCCCAACUCACUGAUUCUGGUUGUCGUGUCAUUCUUGAUAUCGACUCUUGCUCCAUUCAGGAUCGUCGCACCAAGGCUUUGGUUGGUGCUGGCCCCCGGCGCCGUGAGCCAGAGGGCCUUUGGGAGGUUGACUGGCUUUGUGUUCCUUCCGCUGCCACCACUUCUGCCAACUCCCAUGCUCUUGCUGCCUCUUCGUCUGCGUCAUUCCAGCAGUGGCAUCAUCAUCUUGGUAACAUCUGUGGCUCUCGCUUGUCUUUGUUAGUUCGUCAGGGCUUCUUAGGGUCUGUAUCUGGAGAUGUCUCCUUACAUUGUAAUGGUUGCAGACUUGGCAAGCAGACUCAGUUACCUUAUCCUACUAGUGAUUUUGUAUCUCAUCGUCCUUUUGACUUAGUUCAUUCUGAUGUCUGGGGUCCUGCUCCCUUUGAUUCGAAAGGUGGCCAUCGCUACUAUGUUUUGUUUAUUGAUGAUUUCUCUCGCUACACUUGGCUCUACUUCAUGAAAUCUCGCAGCGAGGUUCUCUCUAUAUACAAACGUUUUUUUGCCAUGGUUCACACCCAGUUUUCCACGCCCAUUCGCACCUUUCGUGCUGACUCUGCUGGAGAGUAUAUCUCUCAGCUGUUGCGCGGUUUUCUCGCGGAACAGGGUACUCUUGCCCAGUUCUCAUGUCCUGGUGCUCAUGCUCAGAAUGGCGUUGCCGAACGUAAGCAUCGUCAUUUACUUGAGAUGGCUCAUGCGCAGAUGAUUGCAGCUUCCCUUCCACCCCAUUUUUGGGCUGAGGCUGUUUCUGCAUCCACCUAUCUCAUCAACAUUUAGCCAUCGACUGCUCUACAGGGUGGUAUUAUCUGGAGUGUCUCACUGGUCGCUCUCCUGACUACUCCGCUCUCCGUAUGUUUGGAUGUGUGUGCUAUGUUCUUCUUGCCCCCCGAGAACGCACCAAACUGACUGCUCAGUCGGUUGAGUGUGUUUUCCUUGGUUAUAGUGAUGAGCACAAGGGCUAUUGAUACGUCUUCAACGUAUCUAUAAUUAAUGAAGUAUUCAUGCUAUUAUAUUAUCUGUUUUGGAUGUUUAUGGGCUUUACUAAAUACUUUUAUAUUAUUUUUGGGACUAACCUAUUAACCGGAGGCCCAGCCCAAAUUGUUGUUUUCUUGCCUAUUUCAGUGUUUCGAAGAAAAGGAAUAUCAAACGGAGUCCGAAUGGAAAGAAACCUUCGGGAGAGUUAUUUUUGGAAUGGAAGCAAUCCAGGAGACUUGGUGUAGACGUCAGGGAAGCUUCGAGGAAGCCACGAGGCAGGGAGGCGCGCCCCCCACCCUCGUGGGCCCCUCGUGCCUCCCCUGACCGACUUCUUUCGCCUAUAUAUAUAUAUAUAUAUAUAUAUAUAUAUAUAUAUAUAUAUAUAUAUAUAUAUAUAUAUAUAUAUAUAUAUACCCUAAAAACAUCGAGGAGCAUAAUAGAUCGGGAGUUCCGCCGCCGCAAGCCUUUGUAGCCACCAAAAACAAAUCGGGACCCUGUUCCGGCACCCUGCCGGAGGGGGGAUCCCUCACCGAUGGCCAUCUUCAUCAUCCCGGCGCUCUCCAUGACGAGGAGGGAGUAGUUCACCCUCGGGGCUGAGGGUAUGUGCCAGUAGCUAUGUGUUUGAUCUCUCUCUCUCGUGUUCUUGAGGUGGUACGAUCUUGAUGUAUCACGAGCUUUGCUAUAAUAGUUGGAUCUUAUUAUGUUUCCCCCCCUCUACUCUCUUCUAAUUGAUUGAGUUUUCCCUUUGAAGUUAUCUUAUCGGAUUGAGUCUUUAAGGAUUUGAGAACACUAUGUAUGUCUUGCAUGGGAUGCCCAUGGUGACAAUGGGGUAUUCUAUUGAUUCACUUGAUGUAUGUUUUGGUGAUCAACUUGCGGGUUCCGUUUGUGAACUUAUGCAUAGGGGUUGGCACACGUUUUCGUCUUGGCUCUCCGGUAGAAACUUUGGGGCACUCUUUGAAGUUCUAUGUGUUGGUUGAAUAGAUGAAUCUGAGAUUGUGUGAUGCAUAUCGUAUAAUCAUACCCAUGGAUACUUGAAGUGGCAUUAGGGUUUUGGUUGAUUUGUGUCUUAAGGUGUUAUUCUAGUACGAACUCUAUGAUAGAUCGAACGGAAAGAAUAGCUUCGUGUUAUUUUACUACGGACUCUUGAAUAGAUCGAUCAGAAAGAAUAACUUUGAGGUGGUUUCAUACCCUACAAUAAUCUCUUCGUUUGUUCUCCGCUAUUAGUGACUUUGGAGUGACUCUUUGUUGCAUGUUGAGGGAUAGUUAUAUGAUCCAAUUAUGUUAUUAUUGUUGAGAGAACUUGCACUAGUGAAAGUAUGAACCUUAGGCCUUAUUUCCUAGCAUUGCAAUACCGUUUACGCUCAUUUUUAUCAUUAGUUACCUUGCUAUUUUUAUAUUUUCAGAUUACAAAUACUCAUAUCUAUCAUCCAUAUGCACUUGUAUCACCAUCUCUUCGCCGAACUAGUGCACCUAUACAAUUUACCAUUGUAUUGGGUGUGUUGGGGACACAAGAGACUCUUUGUUAUUUGGCUGCAGGGUUGCUUGAGAGAGACCAUCUUCAUCCUGCGCCUCCCAUGGAUUGAUAAACAUUAGGUCAUACACUUGAGGGAAAUUUGCUACUGUCCUACAAACCUCUGCACUUGGAGGCCCAACAACGUCUACAAGAAGAAGGUUGCGUAGUAGACAUCAAGCUCUUUUCUGGCGCCGUUGCCAGGGAGGUUAGUGCUUGAAGGUAUAUAUUUAGAUAUUGCAAUCGAAUCUUUUAGUUUCUUGUUUUAUCACUAGUUUUGGUUAUAAAAUAAAAGUACAAAAAAAUGGAAUUGAGGGUGCCUCAUAUGCUUCAUCUUUUUAAUAUCUUUCGUGAAAAUGAUGGAAAGGAAAAUUGUGCUCAAGUACUAGAAGAAGAAUUACAUAGAAUGCUUGGCAUAAAAUAUGUGAAUGAUGAGCAUGAUUGCAAUGUUGUUAGUAUGAAUUCUUUGAAUACUCAUGAUGCUAAUGAUAUGCAACGCCACAAGCUUGGGGAUGCUAUGUUUGAUGAAGAUGAUAUGUUUAGUCCCCCAAGUUUUGAUGAGCAAAUAUAUUAUGAUGAAAGCAUGCUUUCUAUCUAUGAUGAUUAUUGUGAUGACACGUAUGCUCUAAAGAAUAAUGAUAACCAUGAAACUUGUCAUCUUGAUUUCAAUUUUCAAUCCCAUGAUAGUUAUUUUCUUGAAUUUGCUCCCACUAUUCCGAAUGAGAAUUUUGCUUAUGUGGAGAGUAAUAAAAUUUCUAUGCAAAUAGAUCAUGAAAAGAAUGCUUUAUGUGCUGGUUAUAUGGUUGAAUUCAUUCAUGAUGCUACUGAAAAUUAUUAUGAGGGAGGAACAUAUGCUUGUAGGAAUUGCAAUAAUAUCAAGUUUCCUCUCUAUGUGCUUAAAGUUAUAAAGUUAUGCUUGUUUUGCCUUCCUAUGCUAGUUGAUUAUUGUUCCCAUAAGUUGUUUGCUCACAAAAUCCCUAUGCAUAGGAAGUGCCUUAGACUUAAAUGUGCUAGUCAUAUUCUUCAUGAUGCUCCCUUUAUGUUUCAAAUCUUAUCUUUUAUGUGAGUAUCAUUGAAAUCAUCAUGCCUAGCUAGCGGCGUUAAACGUUAGCGCUUGUUGGGAGGCAACCCAAUUUUUAUUUUUAUUUUUACUUUUUGCUUUUUGCUCCUGUUUAGUAAUAAAUAAAUCAUCUAGCCUCUGGUUAGAUGUGGUUUUAUGUUUUAAUUAGUGUUUGUGCCAAGUAAGACCUAUAGGAUCUUCUUGGAUGAUAAUUAUUUGAUCUUGCUGAAAAAGACAGAAACUUUCUGCUCACGAAAACAAUUGUUAAAAAUCACCAGAAAGAGAUAAAAUACUGAUUCUAAUUGCAGUAGAUCAAUAAUAAAAUUAUCCAGGUCGUCCUAUUUUGGCAGAUUUUUAUGAGUUUCAGAAGUUUGCAUUUGGUACAGAUUACUACAGACUCUUCUGUUUUUGACAGAUUCUGUUUUCUAUGUGUUGUUUGGUUAUUUUGAUGAAUCUAUGAGUAGUAUCGGAGGGUAUGAACCAUAGAUAAGUUGGAAUACAGUAGAUAUUACGCCAAUAUUAAUUUAUAAUGAGUUCACAACAGUACCUAAGUGGUGAGUUAUUCUCUUAUACUAAUGGAGCGUACGAGUUUUCUGUUAAGUUUUGUGUUGUGAAAUUUUCAAGUUUUGGGUAAAGAUUCGAUGGACUAUGGAAUAGGGAGUGGAAAGAGCCUAAGCUUGGGGAUGCCCAAGGAACCCCAAGGUAAUAUUCAAGGACAACCAAAAUCCUAAGCUUGGGGAUGCCCCGGAUGGCAUCCCCUCUUGCGUCUUCGUUCAUCGGUAACUUUACUUGGAGCUAUAUUUUUAUUCACCACAUGAUAUUUGUUUUGCUUGGAGUCUCAUUUUCUUUUGUUAGCAUUUGCUUGCUGUGAAUUAGAAUAAUGUUUUGCAUCUCUAUUUUCAAUAAAAAUGUCAAGGAUAGCCUUUACCAUGCUUAUUUUGCAAGUAUACAUGUUGCUGUUUCAAAACAGAAAGUUUAACGCUGUUGCAAAAAUUCCCUAGAAAAGUCAGAAUAUGAUAAAAUGUUGAAACUUAUUGCAUAUUGAGCUCUGAUAAAUUUUCUACAGUGUGGUAGAAUUUCAUAAUGUUUGUAGUUAGGGAAGUAUGAUGAAUCUUGCAUUCUUUACAGACUGUACUGUUUUGGCAGAUUGCUGUUAUGUUUGCAUAUGUUUGCUUGUUUAAUGAUUAUAUUUGAGGAUAUGAGUAUUAAAUAUGCAGAGGCAUUUAGUAUGCAAUUUUGAAUAAUAAUUUUAGUGAUUUGUUACAGUAGAAAAUGAUAAGGUUUUUGCAUUGGUUUAUACUAACUUAUCUCACGAGUUCUUGUUGAGUUUGGUGUGGAUGAAGCUUUCGAGAUUUAGAAAACCGUGAUAUGAGAGGAAUUAAGGAGACACAAAAGCUCAAGCUUGGGGGUGCCCAAGGCACCCCAAGAUAAUAUUUCAAGAAGUCUCAAGAAUCUAAGCUUGGGGAUGCCCCGGUACGCAUCCCACCUUUCUUCUUCAACAAUUAUCGGUUAGUAUCGGUUGAGCCUAAGUUUUUGCUUCUUCACAUGAUGAGUGCUAUCCUUGAAAUGUCGUUUUAUUUUGUUUUUCUUGCUGUUUGAAUAAUAUCCCAAGAUCUGAAAUUCUUAAAUGAGAGAGAGUCUUCACAUAGCUACAUAAUUAUUUAACUACUCAUUGAUCUUCACUUAUAUCUUUUUGGAGUAGUUUGUCAUUUACUCGUGUGCUUCACUUAUAUCCUAUGAGUAAAUGGUUGAAUGAUUUGAAUGUCAUAAAUCUGAAAUUAUAUAUGUUUCAUAUGACUUUCCCAUGGGGAGUAAUGCCUUCACAUAGAAGAAGUAGAGGUGGUAAAUUUUUUGAAACUUAGCAAACAUUGUAUUGGUCACUUGAACAAUUCAUGAAAGAAUAUUGAAGGAAGAGAGAUUUCACAUAUAAAUAUGCUAUCUUGGACAUCUUCUAUGAUUGUGAGCCCCAUUAAUUAUUUUCAAACCUGAGCAAAUUAGUUGAAGUUGGACAAGGAAGACAACAUAAUGAGUUAUGCUUGGGUAUAUUUGUAUAGAAGUUAUAUUGUUAUAGAUCCUCCAACAUGUGGUGCUUGCUAUUUAGAAUCCUUUGCUAGCCAAAAUAUCUGUACUAAGCGGGAAUACUGCUUGUGCAUCCAAAUUCCUUGAACCAAGUUUCUUCCAUGAGUGUCCACCAUAUCUACCUAUAUGCGGUAUUUACCUGCCGUUCCAAGUAAAUUUGCAUGUGCCAAACUCUAAACCUUCAAAUAAUAAUCUGUUUUGUAUGCCCGAAUCGCUCAUGUAGCGACUAGGGGCUGUCAGUAUCUUCCAUGCUAGGUGGGUUAUUCUCACGAUGAGUGGACUCCGCUCAUCAUUCACGAGAAAAUGGCUGGUAACUGGGAUGCCCAGUCCUAUGAUCAAAAGAUCAAAAACAAAAUCUCAAAUAAUUUAAACAAUCUCCCCCAGGAUUGUUGAUAGUUGGACGGCACCCGUUGUUUCAGACAAGCCGUGGAGUGUGAUUGUUGGUGGAGGGGGAGUAAAAUCUUUACCUUUCUGUUUGGGAACUGCCUAUAAUGUAUCUAGUAUGGAAGAUAUUGGGAACUCUUGGUCGUUAUGUUGACAAUUAAAGCAUACCUCUCAAAAUUAUUUUCAUCUUCGUUUCAAAGCUUCGAGCUCUGGCACCUCUGCAAAUCCCUGCUUCCCUCUGCGAAGGGUCUAUCUUUUACUUUUAUGCAAGAGUCAGUAGUAUUCCUUCUCAUCCCAACCUACUUUUAGUUGGCAAGCAUCAUGUGGUGGAGAAAGAUCUAAGCAUAUAUGGCCAUUCAAAUAUAUUUGAUCAUGAAUUAUUAUUGUUGACAAUUAUCUAUAUGAUAAAUAAGUUGGGAGGCGAAACAUUAAGCCCCUAUUGUGUUUGUUGAUGCUAUUUGUUCUAAAAAUAUGCUUUGAGUGGUAGCAAUCAUGGAAGACUAUAUGAUAGUUGAGUAUGUGGGAUUUGCUAAAUCAAAGCUCUUACAUAGACACUUCCUGAAAAUAAGAUGAAUUGCAAUCGUUUGAUGACUGUGAAAUGUUUGUUAGUUUUCAAGAAAGUUUAUGAUCUAUACUUUAACAUGUGAAUAGCUUGUUACUUGAUCAUGAGAAGCUUUAUGAUAUGAGCUACUGUUAUGACAUAUAAUGAUGCUAGAAAAGGUGAUUGAAAUUAUCAUUGACCAAACUUGUGCACCUGCUAGCAUUCACACUUCAUAAAUUAUUUCUUUUAUCAUUUACCUACUCGAGGACGAGCAGGAAUUAAGCUUGGGGAUGCUGAUACGUCUCCAACGUAUCUAUAAUUUAUGAAGUAUUCAUGCUAUUAUAUUAUCUGUUUUGGAUGUUUAUGGGCUUUAUUAAACACUUUUAUAUUAUUUUUGGGACUAAUCUAUUAACCGGAGGCCCAGCCCAAAUUGUUGUUUUCUUGCCUAUUUCAGUGUUUCGAAGAAAAGGAAUAUCAAGCGGAGUCCAAACGGAAUGAAACCUUCGGGAGAGUUAUUUUUCGAACAGAAGCAAUCCAGGAGACUUGGAGUAGACGUCAGGGAAGCUUCGAGGAAGCCACGAGGCAAGGAGGCGCGCCCUACCCCCCUGGGCUCGCCCCCACCCUCGUGGGCCCCUCGUGGCUCCCCUGACCGACUUCUUUCGCCUAUAUAUAUACAUAUACCCUAAAAACAUCGAGGAGCACAAUAGAUCGGGAGUUCCGCUGCCGCAAGCCUCUGUAGCCACCAAAAACCAAUCGGGACCUUGUUCCGGCACCCUGCCGGAGGGGGGAUCCCUCACCGGUGGCCAUCUUCAUCAUCCCGGCGCUCUCCAUGACAAGGAGGGAGUAGUUCACCCUCGGGGCUGAGGGUAUGUACCAGUAGCUAUGUAUUUGAUCUCUCUCUCUCUCUCGUGUUCUUGAGGUGGUACGAUCUUGAUGUAUCGCGAGCUUUGCUAUUAUAGUUGGAUCUUAUGAUGUUUCCCCCCCUCUACUCUCUUGUAAUGGAUUGAGUUUUCCCUUUGAAGUUAUGUUAUCGGAUUGAGUCUUUAAGGAUCUGAGAACACUUGAUGUAUGUCUUGCGUGGGAUGCCCGUGGUGACAAUGGGGUAUUCUAUUGAUUCACUUGAUGUAUGUUUUGGUGAUCAACUUGCGGGUUCCGUUUGUGAACUUAUGCAUAGGGGUUGGCACACCUUUUCGUCUUGGCUCUCCGGUAGAAACUUUGGGGCACUCUUUGAAGUUCUAUGUGUUGGUUGAAUAGAUGAAUCUGAGAUUGUGUGAUGCAUAUCGUAUAAUCAUACCCAUGGAUACUUGAGGUGACAUUGGAGUAUCUAGGUGACAUUAGGGUUUUGGUUGAUUUGUGUCUUAAGGUGUUAUUCUAGUACGAACUCUAUGAUAGAUCGAACGGAAAGAAUAGCUUCGUGUUAUUUUACUACGGACUCUUGAAUAGAUCGAUCAGAAAGAAUAACUUUGAGGUGGUUUCGUACCCUACAAUAAUCUCUUCGUUUGUUCUCCGCUAUUAGUGACUUUGGAGUGACUCUUUGUUGCAUGUUGAGGGAUAGUUAUAUGAUCCAAUUAUGUUAUUAUUGUUGAGAGAACUUGCACUAGUGAAAGUAUGAACCUUAGGCCUUAUUUCCUAGCAUUACAAUACCGUUUACGCUCACUUUUAUCACUAGUUACCUUGCUGUUUUUAUAUUUUCAGAUUACAAAUACUCAUAUCUAUCAUCCAUAUUGCACUUGUAUCACCAUCUCUUCGCCGAACUAGUGCACCUAUACAAUUUACCAUUGUAUUGGGUGUGUUGGGGACACAAGAGAAUCUUUGUUAUUUGGUUGCAGGGUUGCUUGAGAGAGACCAUCUUCAUGCUACGCCUCCCACGGAUUGAUAAACCUUAGGUCAUCCACUUGAGGGAAAUUUGCUACUGUCCUACAAACCUCUGCACUUGGAGGCCCAACAACGUCUACAAGAAGAAGGUUGCGUGGUAGACAUCAGCUAUCGAUGUUGGGAUCAUGUAGGUCGUCGCUUACGCAUCUCGCGUGAUGUGACUUUUGACGAGUCUCGUUCCUAUUACUCACUUCCUUCUUCCUUGAGUUUCUCUGUGGACGAUCUUUCUUUCCUUCUCCUUCCCGAUACACCCUGCUAUGUGCCUCCUGUGUCACCCCUUCCUCCGGCACCUCUCAUUCCUUCUCAUUCACCACCGACCCCAUCUUCUCCAUCCUCCUCCUCCACCUCUCCACCAUCAUCUCUAGUCCGUCGCCCUCUCUCACCGUUCCCUCUCCACUAUACUCGUCGCCCUCGUCCUGAGGAUGUCUCCCCUGACGCACCUUCCACCUCUGGUGCACCUCCCCUCACGCCUCCCCCGGUUCACAACCUCCGUGCUCGGCCUCGUCCUCCGCCAGAUCGCUACUCUCCUGAUCGGUAUGGUCUCUCUGUUAUUGAUGAGCCCACUUCCUAUCGGACUGCCAUGACUCAACCUGAAUGGCAGCUUGCAAUGGCCGAAGAUCUUGUUGCCCUUGAGCGCUCUGGCACAUGGGAGCUAGUUUCCCUCCCUUCCCGUAUUCGUCCCAUCACCUGCAAGUGGGUCUACAAGAUUAAGACUCACUCCGAUGGUUCUCUUGAGCGCUACAAAGCUCUUCUUGUGGCCCGUGGUUUCCAGCAAGAGCAGGGAUGCGAUUAUGAUGAGACAUUCGCUCAUGUGGCUCACAUGACCACUGUCCGCACUCUCCUUGCUGUGGCUUCUGUUCGUCAGUGGUCUAUCUCUCAACUUGAUGUCCAGAACGCCUUUCUCAAUGGCGAGUUGCGUGAGGAGGUUUACAUGCAGCCACCACCGGGGUACUAUGCCCCUGAUGGUAUGGUCUGUCGUCUUCGCCGCUCUCUCUAUGGUAUUGAACAGGCCCCUCGCGCCUGGUUUGAGCGCUUCGCCUCUGUGGUGACUGCCGCUGGUUUCUUGCCCAGUGAUCAUGAUCCCGUGUUAUUUGUCCACACGUCUCCUCAUGGUCGGACUCUUCUCCUUCUCUAUGUUGAUGACAUGAUCAUCACUGGUGACGACUCUGACUACAUGCCUUUGUUAAGGCCCGCCUUCACGACCAGUUCCUCAUGACUGAUCUUGGUCCUCUUCGCUACUUUCUUGGGAUUGAGAUCUCCUCGACCCUUGAUGGCUUCUACAUCUCUCAAGAGAAAUAUAUUCAGGAUCUUCUUGCUCGAGCUGCUCUCGGUGAUGACCGCACAGUUGUGACUCCUAUGGAGCUCAACGUUCAGCUUCGUGCCUCUGAUGGUGACCCUCUUUCUAAUCCCACUCGCUAUCAUCACCUCGUUGGUAGUCUUGUCUAUCUUGUUGUUACGCGUCCUGACAUCUCCUAUCCGGUUCACAUCCUGGGUCAGUUUGUUUCAGCCCCCACCUCUGUCCACUAUAGUCAUCUCCUCCGUGUUCUACGAUACCUUUGUGGCACGAUCUCUCAGCGCCUUUUCUUUCCCCGCUCCAGCUCUCUUGAGCUCCAGGCCUACUCUGAUGCUACCUGGGCUAGUGAUCCCUCUGAUCGACGCUCACUGUCUGCUUACUGUGUCUUUCUUGGCGGCUCUCUUAUUGCCUGGAAGACAAAGAAAUAGACUCCAGUUUCUCGCUCGAGUACAGAGGCUGAAUUGCUGGCCAUGGCUAUGUUGACGGCUGAGGUGAUCUGGUUACGGUGGUUACUUGAGGAUUUUGGUGUGUCUGCUACUACCUCGACUCCCUUAUUGUCAGACAGUACUGGUGUUAUCAGUAUUGCGCGUGACCCGGUGAAGCAUGAGCUCACCAAGCACAUCGGUGUGGAUGCCCACUUUGUGCGUGCUGCUAUGCAGGAUCAGACUCUCGCUCUUCACUAUGUGCCCUCUGAGUUAUAGUUGGCUGACUUCUUCACGAAGGCACAGACUCGAGCGCAGCAUACCUUUUUCCUCUCCAAACUCAGUGUUGUUGAUCCACCAUGNNNNNNNNNNNNNNNNNNNNNNNNNNNNNNNNNNNNNNNNNNNNNNNNNNNNNNNNNNNNNNNNNNNNNNNNNNNNNNNNNNNNNNNNNNNNNNNNNNNNNNNNNNNNNNNNNNNNNNNNNNNNNNNNNNNNNNNNNNNNNNNNNNNNNNNNNNNNNNNNNNNNNNNNNNNNNNNNNNNNNNNNNNNNNNNNNNNNNNNNNNNNNNNNNNNNNNNNNNNNNNNNNNNNNNNNNNNNNNNNNNNNNNNNNNNNNNNNNNNNNNNNNNNNNNNNNNNNNNNNNNNNNNNNNNNNNNNNNNNNNNNNNNNNNNNNNNNNNNNNNNNNNNNNNNNNNNNNNNNNNNNNNNNNNNNNNNNNNNNNNNNNNNNNNNNNNNNNNNAUAUCCCCAUUGUGUAAGGGGUUUCCUGCACUUUGACACACAUGUAUAUGUAAUGGCCUUUGGCCCAAAGUUCAGUUGUUGUUUAUCCAACAACCUCUAGCAGCCAGUACAGUGGGAGGACAACUACGUAAAAGAAAAAAUGUUGAGUUUUGGAGAAGAGCUAGAGAUCAGGACUUAUUGAACGAGACGAUGGGAGCUCUAUCAUGGAGCUACCAGCAUCUUAAUGAGCAGAUUAGACAAUGCUUUGCUUACUGUAGUAUGUUCCCCAGA
Molecule: long non-coding RNA, 22695 nt
Filed under: Triticum aestivum (bread wheat)
Lineage: Eukaryota; Viridiplantae; Streptophyta; Magnoliopsida; Poales; Poaceae
Description: long non-coding RNA (TAES_LNC024942)
Source: RNAcentral